Molecule: ribosomal RNA, 463 nt
Filed under: uncultured bacterium
Lineage: Bacteria
Description: bacterial SSU rRNA
Rfam family: Bacterial small subunit ribosomal RNA
Source: RNAcentral
CGGAGGCAGCAGUGGGGAAUCUUGCGCAAUGGGCGAAAGCCUGACGCAGCAACGCCGCGUGUGUGAUGAAGGUCUUCGGAUCGUAAAGCACUGUCGCGAGGGACGAAUAAGGGCUGGGUGAACAAUCCAGUCCGAUGACGGUACCUCGAGAGGAAGCACCGGCUAACUCUGUGCCAGCAGCCGCGGUAAUACAGAGGGUGCUAGCGUUGUUCGGAAUUAUUGGGCGUAAAGCGCGUGUAGGCGGCUUAGCAAGUCAGGUGUGAAAGCCCUCGGCUUAACCGAGGAAGUGCGCCUGAAACUGCUGAGCUUGAGUACCGGAGAGGGCGGUGGAAUUCCCGGUGUAGAGGUGAAAUUCGUAGAUAUCGGGAGGAACACCAGCGGCGAAGGCGACCGCCUGGACGGCUACUGACGCUGAGACGCGAAAGCGUGGGGAGCAAACAGGAUUAGAAACCCGAGUAGUCCC